AACGAACGCUGGCGGCAUGCCUAACACAUGCAAGUCGAACGAGACCUUCGGGUCUAGUGGCGCACGGGUGCGUAACGCGUGGGAACCUGCCCUUAGGUUCGGAAUAACUCCCCGAAAGGGGUGCUAAUACCGGAUAAUGUCUUCGGACCAAAGAUUUAUCGCCUUUGGAUGGGCCCGCGUUGGAUUAGCUAGUUGGUAGGGUAAAAGCCUACCAAGGCGACGAUCCAUAGCUGGUCUGAGAGGAUGAUCAGCCACACUGGGACUGAGACACGGCCCAGACUCCUACGGGAGGCAGCAGUGGGGAAUAUUAGACAAUGGGCGAAAGCCUGAUCCAGCAAUGCCGCGUGAGUGAUGAAGGCCUUAGGGUUGUAAAGCUCUUUUACCCGGGAUGAUAAUGACGGUACCGGGAGAAUAAGCACCGGCUAACUCCGUG
Molecule: ribosomal RNA, 433 nt
Filed under: uncultured bacterium
Lineage: Bacteria
Description: partial 16S ribosomal RNA
Rfam family: Bacterial small subunit ribosomal RNA
Source: RNAcentral